This 105-nucleotide small RNA is filed under the name Flavobacterium noncentrifugens. RNAcentral describes it as "Flavo-1 RNA". It matches the Rfam family "Flavo-1 RNA". The record is from Rfam by way of RNAcentral. Lineage: Bacteria; Pseudomonadati; Bacteroidota; Flavobacteriia; Flavobacteriales; Flavobacteriaceae.
CCCUAGCCCCGAUUGCAGCGUAAAUCCUUUUGUUUUUAGGAUUGCCCGCAGCGCAGGGCAGGGAAAUCCUAAAACAAAAGAUUGCAGCGGAAAUCGGGAAAUGGC